GCAUAGGGGAGCCGGAGGGAAACCGAGUCUUAAUUGGGCGUUAAGUUGCAGGGUAUAGACCCGAAACCCGGUGAUCUAGCCAUGGGCAGGUUGAAGGUUGGGUAACACUAACUGGAGGACCGAACCGACUAAUGUUGAAAAAUUAGCGGAUGACCUGUGGCUGGGGGUGAAAGGCCAAUCAAACCGGGAGAUAGCUGGUUCUCCCCGAAAGCUAUUUAGGUAGCGCCUCGUGAAUUCAUCUCCGGGGGUAGAGCACUGUUUCGGCCAGGGGGCCAUCCCGGCUUACCAAUCCGAUGCAAACUGCGAAUACCGGAGAAUGUUAUCACGGGAGACACACGGCGGGUGCUAACGUCCGUCGUGAAGAGGGAAACAACCCAGACCGCCAGCUAAGGUCCCAAAGUCAUGGUUAAGUGGGAAACGAUGUGGGAAGGCCCAGACAGCCAGGAUGUUGGCUUAGAAGCAGCCAUCAUUUAAAGAAAGCGUAAUAGCUCACUGGUCGAGUCGGCCUGCGCGGAAGAUGUAACGGGGCUAAACCAU
Molecule: ribosomal RNA, 537 nt
Filed under: Salmonella enterica
Lineage: Bacteria; Pseudomonadati; Pseudomonadota; Gammaproteobacteria; Enterobacterales; Enterobacteriaceae
Description: partial 23S ribosomal RNA
Rfam family: Bacterial large subunit ribosomal RNA
Source: RNAcentral